Molecule: transfer RNA, 75 nt
Filed under: Cordylochernes scorpioides
Lineage: Eukaryota; Metazoa; Arthropoda; Arachnida; Pseudoscorpiones; Chernetidae
Description: tRNA-Thr
Rfam family: tRNA (bases 7-66)
About the family: Transfer RNA (tRNA) molecules are approximately 80 nucleotides in length. Their secondary structure includes four short double-helical elements and three loops (D, anti-codon, and T loops).
Source: RNAcentral
GGUCAUGUGGCCUAGUGGUCAUGGCAUCUGCCCGGUAAGCGGAAGGUCGUGGGUUCGAUUCCCAUCCCUUGAUUU